CUGGAACCAUGGGACUGUGCUCCGUGGCAUUUUUGGCAUUCACUUUUAUUGUGCGAGUGGUUCAAGGUCUUCCGGGCGGGCUUACAUGGUGGGUGGUGGUGCAGAGCAGUUUUGUCCAAAUGGUUGCAGUCGAAGGGAAUUUUGGAAUUGUGGAACUUUCGGGCCAAAACUAAAGAUGCAUAAGAGAGUGGUAAUCCCGGCAAAUGGCGUAUAAAUGCCCAAGUUCACCCAGAGGCACUCGAAGUGCCCUAAAUGUCUCCCUGCCCUGCCACUUAUAAAUGAGCGAGUAUUUAUAUUUUUCAUUUUGCUGUUUUCAGCGCAACUUUUGGCGAGCUUGGAGCAUUUUGCGAUGGGAAACAGGCGGGUAAUUUUCCAUGCCAGGAAGCAGCUGCUCCCAGUGCACUUGGCACCGCAGAAGCCAUCAUUUAAAUUACUGAAUUUCAACUGCUCCGACAUCAAUCAACAGCGUCCAGUGGCAGUAUUAGUUUUAGCCGGGAAACUUUUAUAAUUGGCCGCUAUGAGGAUAAUGCCGAGUGCAAGGUAAAGUAAUUAAAGAAGAGCAUGGCAUUGGCCCAAAAAAUCCCCUAAUCAAGCAAAUAAAUUGGGUCUUAACCCGGGCUCUGUGCCACUUUCAAUAAACUUUCCAGACGCACCCAAAGUUUUCCAGUGCAAACUGCCAGCAGAGACCAACAAUUAGCUUACCAGACUAAUCAGGCCUUUGAAGUGGCUUCCUAAAUGCACGUAUUCAUUAGAAUCUGCCCCCUCCAAAUGUCUGUUGCAUAUUGAAAUGGACUCAUAUUGUGUCCUGGCACAUGUGAUUAGUAAUUCAGUUCGACUGAUGCGAUGCUCGUCGUAUAUCCUUUCAGGCGACCGGAAACAGGAAGCAAUGCCAACUCUCGUUGCAAUUAAUUUAGAAUUUUUGCAAUACGGUUUCGUAACUCAGUCAGGAAAUUGACAGAUCCGAUUGCCAUUGCACUGGCUCCCUUGGGGCUCUGAUUGAAAUUGCUAUUUAUAUUCCACAAAGUCGGACGUUAAUUUCUUCUGUAAGCUCCAAUGAAAUUGUGGCAGCAAUCCGCAUUUUGUCACAACACAUUGGCGGUGCAAAGUGUCCAUUACUGUGAGGAAAAUUAAAUUGGAAAUCCCACAGUCCGCAGUCAGCCUGUGGCGUUAUGAAUCUGCAUUGCAUUUCGAAAAUUAUGCAAAAAGUAUGAAAAGCCACAAAAAUGCAGAUACUGCAAAUAUGAAAAUCAGUAUGUGGGCCAAACUUAAAAUGUUGUCGUUGAAUUAUUACAGGCGAACCAUAAUUUCAUUGUAUUUUUGGGGAUUAGAUAGCAACACUGUUGUUUACAAACGAAAGUAGACACUUUCGGAAACAAUUCCAUAUAUUUAUUUUGUCUCUGAUUAUGUGCCACUAUUUUAAUGGCUUAAUAUUAUUAUUUGUUGGUUCAGAGAAGUUGACAGAGAUUUAUGGCAUACUUGAGACGUCGUCUAGCAAACACAGAAGAGCAUCAUCAAUUUUAAUAAAACCCCCCAUUGUUUUCGCACAUGCAUGUGUGCAUUUGAGUUUGAGGAUGAGCAAGUUUUUUAUCACACAACUUCACUGCGACGAGGAAACAUUUGUCAGUCCAAGAUGUGGUGGUUAAAUCGGAACAAUAUUGUACAAAUUCACUUAAAGUUGAGUUGCUGCGCUCUUCAUAAAAAAUAAUAUUGCACAUAAAAUCCAAACUAAGCCAUGGAGACAGCAAUGCGCUAUUAUAUUUCCAUUUUGCUAAGCUGGAUACAAUUGAAAAUUCCACAACGGGCAUAUGAAAAUUGAUUCCGCUCCGCAGGAUUUCCAGCUGCUUUUCCCCAGUAGCAUUUAGUUUUGGCUAACAUUGGUCGCCGAUAAUAACUCAACAGCUUUUGUAUUUGACGGCCAUUUAAUACAACGAGACGGAGCGAAAUGAAACAAAGGCAAUGACAGCUGCGAAACAAUUGCACAACUAAUCAAUGACGGCCAUCAAUGGAGUGCAGUGGAAAAUGGUUGGAGGGGGCGAAGGGAGAGUAACGAAAAAACAUUAGGAAAACAAUUAAACUAAUUGACGGCAAUUUAUACGCGGCAAGGAGACAAAGCGAAAACAGAGGGCCAGCCGAGAGAAACUUGCACAAAAACCAAAAGUUUUAUAGGAGAAAAUUGGAUCUGGAAAGUUCGUUCGCAAAGUAAACCGCUGAAAAUGGGGGCGGCAAGCGAAGAUAUUGUGAUAAAAAAGGCAGUGGUGCUCCAUUAACUUGGCCACUAAUGAAACCGCAUUGAAAGAGCACCCUGCACCGGCGGAGAAGAAGCUGUCUAAUUGACACUGUCUGGUCUGAAAUGCGAAUUAAUUCACUGCUCGGGAAAUUUCUGAUUGCAUCGCUCAUACGACCCGUGCGCCAUACUUUAUUCGCCUUGCUACCACAUUAAAUGCGCCGAUUGUCGCAAGGCUAAGCGGCGAGUUUAAUUAAAGUCCGUAUUUAAUUUAAGCUCAAGUAUGGUUGCAAAAUGCACCAGUUUCCUUCAAUCCCCGCAGUUCCUUGCCACAAAGAACACACACACCGUUCCUAAUCCCAUUUCCGCCAUGAAAGGCACAUACACAAAACCAAAGGCAACUCAAAGGCAGCUGAGUUCCAUCUUCCUGGCGUCCUUGUGGUCCUGGCGGAUACUGCGGAUACUUGCUCAAGUGCUCAUAGAGAGCUAAAGGUGGGACUUUUAAAAAUGUUAAUGUAUUAAAUAUAAAACCCUAAUAAAACCAAAUUAAAAAAAGAACAAUUUUCAAGUUUUCAGCCUCAGCAAAAAAAACCGAAAGAGUUGAUUAACAUUUUCCGCGUUGAUGAAUUAAGUCAUCUCGCUGGACUUAAUUCUCGCUGAUUUCACUUAAAUUGAUAAGAGGCGGCAUCCAGUGCAAAUAAUCUUUUCCAUUCCUUGACUCAUUGCGAGCCUCGAUUGUCACUCGAUAAUGCGUAGGCUCGUUUUUUCAUAUUUAUAGCAUUUAUUGCCUGAUUGCACAUUAAUUUCUGAUGACACUUUUAUGUUGUGCGAUGUCAGCUCAGUUUAUAAUACAGCUUCAUAUGGCGGGGUAAUUGCCAUUUCCCGAUGCAUUUAAUAAAGUCCGAUAUCGUUAUUAUCGCACUGUCGCCCAAUAAAUUAGUUAUUGGUAUUUCGCUUAAUAAGAAAAAUAACCAUCUUCGGGGCAAUUCAAACACAAAUUCCGGCAAUCAGCCCGAGUCCUUGGUAUACUCGUCCUUGGAAAAACUUCCAUAACAGACCAUUACACUGGCAAAGCUGUUUGCCGUCCGCAUUGCGGUGUCCUUAGCAGCUUGUGCAAUUGCAUUAGGGGAUUGCCCACUUCCCAUCCCGCUGGACACGCCACAUGCCACACACCAAACACGCAUAGACUCAUAUAAUAUUUAUUGCACUUUUGUUUACCAAGCGGCGUGGUGUGUGAAGUUUAAUAAAUCUUAAAGCUUGCCUUGCAGCAUUUUCUGGCUCUUGAAAUUUAUGCGACCUUUAGAAUGUAGCAGCAAUGUUAUCGGAUGAGAUAAGUGCGUUAUCACAGUGGCAGCAUCAACGGUAAGUGGCUUAUCCGCUCAUCCCGCACCCAGAAUCCCCGAUCCACUUAGAGUCCUUCGAAGGCGGAGUCCUGCUGUUUGCUUUAUAGCCCACCCGCCUGCCGAGUGUGACACACGUCCAUACAUUUAUUAGCAUAUUGGCAGCAGCCAACUCCCCGCCUAAUGAUGCAGAAAUGUAAAACAACUGGGACUCGGAGCUUUGCAGCCAUGGAGCUCCAUUUCAACGGUUUCCCCACAUUGCUCCAUCUCAUGUGGAGCGCAGAGGGAUUGUCAUUGGCAAUUGCGAUGUGGCAUACUGAUUUUGUUAUUCUACGAGGUGACUCCGCGUGACGUACGCGCUUUUUUAUCUCGCAAACGUGCUGCGAAAUCGAAAACUGCAAAAUAACCGGGGUGCAGAACUAUCACUGGAAAUGCGAAAUCAUCGCCAUCGAGUUUUGUCCAGCUUGCCGGAUAUUUGUGUGGAAAUUUCCUAAUAAAAAAUUUCAAAGUUAUUGGUGAGAUUUUCCACCUUUCUGCGGAAUGCCCAAGUUACCAGUAGUCGAAACUCGAGUCAUGCCAUGAGUUCCUCUGAAAGGGUAUUUCCCUUAACUCAAGUAUUGAAGCUGAGUGUCUAAAGUUUCUACUGAAACUUUUCUUU
Molecule: long non-coding RNA, 4222 nt
Organism: Drosophila sechellia
Lineage: Eukaryota; Metazoa; Arthropoda; Insecta; Diptera; Drosophilidae
Exons: 3
Source: RefSeq, a predicted model, not a curated record